Molecule: ribosomal RNA, 549 nt
Filed under: Elphidium sp. S5
Lineage: Eukaryota; Foraminifera; Rotaliida; Elphidiidae
Description: partial small subunit ribosomal RNA
Rfam family: Eukaryotic small subunit ribosomal RNA
Source: RNAcentral
GCAGUAUACGGAGGCUUAAUACUCAGUAACUAGAGGGACCGCUGUUACUUUCUUUAAACCAGAGGAAGGUUGCGGCAAUAACAGGUCUGUGAUGCCCUUAGAUGUUCCGGGCUGCACACGUGAUACAUUGAUUACUUCAGUGAGUAUCUACGUAUUACUGCGCAGCAGUAUACGCGUGUUGUUUAUUGCUUCGGCAAUUUACUUUGCGCUAUACGCCGCCUUAACCUACUUCGAAAGUAUGUGGGUAACCAAUUAGAAGUAGUGAUUUCCCUCUUUAUAAGCACACUUAUAUGGAGCAUCAUCACCCGGCAUGCCUUGUGCAUGUUUUGUGUGUGUUGUUUGUCUACAUGUGCUUUUGUCAAUUCAUAGUGGGGACAGACCAUUGUUAAUUGUUGGUCUCGGUCUUAACUAGGAAUGCCUUGUACGAGUUUUUGGUUCAACAAACCACUCGGAAUACGUCCCUGCCCUUUGUACACACCGCCCGUCGCUCUUACCGAUGGAUUAUAUUAUGAGUUGGCAGGACCGUCCAGGAAAUGCCUGCGAAUAAUG